RNAcentral lists this ribosomal RNA (468 nucleotides) under uncultured bacterium. RNAcentral describes it as "partial 16S ribosomal RNA". It matches the Rfam family "Bacterial small subunit ribosomal RNA", at positions 28 to 507 of the family's 1533-position model. The record is from RNAcentral.
GACGAACGCUGGCGGCGUGCUUAACACAUGCAAGUCGAACGGAAAGACCCUGCUUUUGUGGGGUGCUCGAGUGGCGAACGGGUGAGUAACACGUGAGUAACCUGCCCUUGACUUUGGGAUAACUUCAGGAAACUGGGGCUAAUACCGGAUAGGAGCUCCUGUUGCAUGGUGGGGGUUGGAAAGUUUCGGCGGUUGGGGAUGGACUCGCGGCUUAUCAGCUUGUUGGUGGGGUAGUGGCUUACCAAGGCUUUGACGGGUAGCCGGCCUGAGAGGGUGACCGGCCACAUUGGGACUGAGAUACGGCCCAGACUCCUACGGGAGGCAGCAGUGGGGAAUAUUGCACAAUGGGCGGAAGCCUGAUGCAGCAACGCCGCGUGCGGGAUGACGGCCUUCGGGUUGUAAACCGCUUUCGCCUGUGACGAAGCGUGAGUGACGGUAAUGGGUAAAGAAGCACCGGCUAACUACGUG